GACGAACGCUGGCGGCGUGCUUAACACAUGCAAGUCGAACGGAAAGGCCCUGCUUUUGUGGGGUGCUCGAGUGGCGAACGGGUGAGUAACACGUGAGUAACCUGCCCUUGACUUUGGGAUAACUUCAGGAAACUGGGGCUAAUACCGGAUAGGAGCUCCUGCUGCAUGGAGGGGGUGGGAAAGUUUCGGCGGUUGGGGAUGGACUCGCGGCUUAUGAGCUUGUUGGUGGGGUAGUGGCUUACCAAGGCUUUGACGGGUAGCCGGCCUGAGAGGGUGACCGGCCACAUUGGGACUGAGAUACGGCCCAGACUCCUACGGGAGGCAGCAGUGGGGAAUAUUGCACAAUGGGCGGAAGCCUGAUGCAGCAACGCCGCGUGCGGGAUGACGGCCUUCGGGUUGUAAACCGCUUUCGCCUGUGACGAAGCGUGAGUGACGGUAAUGGGUAAAGAAGCACCGGCUAACUACGUG
RNAcentral lists this ribosomal RNA (468 nucleotides) under uncultured bacterium. RNAcentral describes it as "partial 16S ribosomal RNA". It matches the Rfam family "Bacterial small subunit ribosomal RNA", at positions 28 to 507 of the family's 1533-position model. The record is from RNAcentral.